Long non-coding RNA from Cataglyphis hispanica, 759 nucleotides. RefSeq lists it as uncharacterized. NCBI's taxonomy places the organism in Eukaryota, Metazoa, Arthropoda, Insecta, Hymenoptera, Formicidae. The transcript has 2 exons. The record is from RefSeq and is a predicted model, not a curated record.
UAAUUCUAAAAAUGCUUUUAAUGGAUAUAAACAAUAUUUUUUUGUAAAUUUUGUGAAUUUAGUUACUGGUGCAAUAAUUUACGUGACUGCCCAGUAACUGAUUAUAUGCUUAGUUACCAGUACAAUUCACUUCAACGAUACGCAAUUAGAAAGUACCAAUAACUAAAUCGGAUUACUGAAUCACUUUUAAGAUUCAUUCCAAUCAUAAACAUGCCAAAGAUAGUAAAAAAAAAUAUACGCAAGAAGAUAUAAAUACUGCUUUGAAGCAUAUAAAAAAUGGCAUGUCGUUAAGAGAGGCAACAAAAAUAUAUAAUGUAUCGAGAAGCACGCUCUAUUGCAAAGCAAAAAAUAUCUAUCCUGUCGAGUGUUCUAAAGGCCCACCAACUAUUUUAACGAAAGAAAAAGAAUUACAAAUAACAGGAUGGCUAAUCUACUGCGAAAAAUUUUCCAGUUAGUAAAAAUCAAUUGCUUGAUAGUGUGCAUUUAUUAGUAGUUGAAUUGGAGAGAAGAACGUUUUUCACAAAUAACAGGCCUGGUAAAUAAACAUUGAUAUGAAAAUUUCUGUAAACGUCAUCCAGAAUUAUGCAUCAAAGUGUCUCAAAAUUUGACACGUAUUCGUGAUUCAGCUACAGAGAAUAUUUUAAGAAAUUAGUUCGCUGAAGUGCAUGCACAUUUGCACACAAAAAAAUGUUAUUAACUGAUUCACCCAAGGUAUUUAAUUGUGAUGAGAAUGCAUUCUUUCUUUAGCCCUAAAGCUAA